CCCUAGCCCUGAUGGAAGCGGUAUCCUUUCUAGUCCUGAACUUAUUUCAGGACCCUGAAAUAAGUUCAGGACUAGAAAGAUACAAGUGUACAGCAGGAAAUAGC
Molecule: small RNA, 104 nt
Filed under: Flavobacterium urumqiense
Lineage: Bacteria; Pseudomonadati; Bacteroidota; Flavobacteriia; Flavobacteriales; Flavobacteriaceae
Description: Flavo-1 RNA
Rfam family: Flavo-1 RNA
Source: RNAcentral